Molecule: non-coding RNA, 143 nt
Organism: Microdochium trichocladiopsis
Lineage: Eukaryota; Fungi; Ascomycota; Sordariomycetes; Xylariales; Microdochiaceae
Source: the annotation of a RefSeq genome assembly
GCCCGGUUAGCUCAAUCGGUAGAGCGUGAGACUCUUACACAAAACGAUGAAACUCGCCCAGUUCAAGCUUCUCCCUCAACAGGUCGAGCCACGAAGACGGCAUUUCAAUCUCAAGGUUGCGGGUUCGACCCCCGCAUCGGGCU